GGCUAUCUUCAUCGACUGAGGCCAAAGUACUCUGGCUACUGUGCACACUGGAACACAUUUAAAGAUUUCUUUCUUGUGAUGGCUAUUCCUUCCCAGUGGCCCUUCUCUGGCAAAGAGGAAAGCUUCUUACACACAGACAGAAGUUACCAGCAGGGAGGUGCCAUCGCUCAGAGCACAAGCUUUGUACGCCGGACAGUUCCAGUUUCAGUGCCUGGCAUCUCCAAGAGGAAGGACCUCAAGUGGCUGACCUGGCCUGCCUAGAUCUAAGACUAGCUUUGGGGGCCUUGAUCAACCCCAGACAGCCUACUCAACGGCAAAGGAUGGUGGGAGCUGUCAUCCAACAACAUCUGGGGACCCAAGGUUGAAGAACAGCACUCUUUUGGUACAGAUCCAUCAGGCCCUCUCUUCCCCACCCCUCUUAUUAAUACUUUUAUUUGUUUUUAAAUGCAAACAGAUAAAUGAAGAAACAGGAGCACAGUGGAGGGCAAAAGUGGCGAGAUGAGAGAGAGGGCAUCGGGUUCUCUUUGACUGGAAACAUAUAUUUUUCAAGAGGCUUUUCUUGUUAGAUUUUACCGCUGCCUUGGAAUUGAACUAUAUUCUAGAUUGCUGAUUUUAGUUUGCAACUGUCCUUUUCAUUGUGUCUUUUGCUAUUGAUGUAUGUUUUGCACUUACUGUAUUUUUAUGCUGCGGAGUCCCUCUGAGUGCUCUAUGAGAUGAAGAAUGAGAUAAAAAAUAAUAAAUUGGUUGCUUAGCUGAAGAACAGGUUUGGCUAGGUACACCUCCAGAAUUGGUGUUAAAACAGGUACAAAAAAAUGAGUGGUUUUGCAUAGAGAACGGCAAAGCAAGAACUGCAGUCUUCAACAGAAAUAGCCCAGCAGAUUUGUUACAUGCCCUGCCUCUACAUGGUUGAGAAAUAUGCCUGCUGCAUUUUUAGUAUUGGUAUAACCUUGUUUAUUUUAACAGCCCCAAAAUUAAUCAGUCAGAAAUAUAGUUUCCUCAUCAAA
This is a long non-coding RNA of Rhineura floridana, 1004 nucleotides long. RefSeq lists it as uncharacterized. The record is from RefSeq and is a predicted model, not a curated record. The transcript is spliced from 3 exons. Lineage: Eukaryota; Metazoa; Chordata; Lepidosauria; Squamata; Rhineuridae.